This is a long non-coding RNA of Lineus longissimus, 982 nucleotides long. RefSeq lists it as uncharacterized. The record is from RefSeq and is a predicted model, not a curated record. The transcript is spliced from 3 exons. NCBI's taxonomy places the organism in Eukaryota, Metazoa, Nemertea, Pilidiophora, Heteronemertea, Lineidae.
UUGGUCGAACUUUUCUGAAAGGCAAUGGAGUGAAAAGUUAGCAUUGAUGGUAAACAUGAACCAAAGUAGUGACACUAUUCAGAUCGUGGUCAGCUCGGUACCUUUUUCCUUCACAACUACUUGUUAUACAUGCUUCCCGAAAUUGGUGGCUUGCAUUGGAACUAACUUUUUCCCCCUUGUUCGUCUUCAAAGGUAUUCAAGUGUGUUGGUCAACCAUGACUAUCUCCUUUGUCCCUCCACCAUAAGGCCUAGUUUCCCCUUAUGACAUCACUAUUUCGGACACUCGGCGCCCCAUUUCUGGAAAGGUGUAUAGUAACGUCUGUGGCGUGACCUGGUUCUCACUCCCUUCAGGUAUCACCGCUCUCACGAAGGGAGCUAUUGAGAACCACUUGUCUCCUCUUGAUGUUUAAGGCGAAAACCACAGACAUGGAGACAACUCCGCUGGAGUUGUGAAAUCUGCCUGGUCACUUGAACGCCGUCACCACCAAACCGUGCAGUAUCAUCCUCAUUAUCAUACCUGCUUCCACCUGCUUAUGUUCUCGCAGCUGAUUGGCUACCUUCACCGGAAGCAUCUGGUACAACAAUUCGUCAGUUUUUCUCUUUUCUUCUUCCAGCGCCUUUCCCGUUCUUGUGAGCUCAGCAGUCGUUUCGUCAAGCUUUUUGCUAAAAAAAAUGAAUUUCCGAAUGAUAUCCAUUUCAGUUCUGUUUAUCAUCUUAUCCGCGGACUUAAGAGCGAUUCUCUGUUGAUUCAACAGGAUGAGUUCCCGCGUGACGUCGUAGAUAGGAAUAUCGGAAAGGAAGAGGUUCUUCUCCGCCAUUUCGUUAAGACUAGACAGCCGGGAACAAUCCGCGAUGAAUUCAGUCCAAUCACCUCCUUCUCUCUGAUGAUGAAACAAGCGUUGAUGAACCUUCGUAGAUGAGCCAUUGAAAGCAUCAAGUUUGGCUGCAUCAUUUCAAAAACGUCACUGAGCUUAACGCCGCC